ACUGCUCAGUAACACGUGGCUAAUCUGCCCUUAGGACGAGAACAACCCCGGGAAACUGGGGCUAACUCUUGAUAGGCGAAGAACUCUGGAAUGAGUCUUUACCUAAAAAGAUUCACGUUAUCCUCGUGAACCUGCCUAAGGAUGAGGCCGCGACCGAUCAGGUUGUUGGUGAGGUAAUGGCUCACCAAGCCUUUUACCGGUGCGGGCCGUGGGAGCGGGAGCCCGGAGAUGGGUACUGAGACAAGGACCCAGGCCCUGCGGGGCGCAGCAGUCGCGAAACCUUUGCAAUACACGAAAGUGUGACAGGGCUAUCCCGAGUGCCAUCCGCUGAGGAAGGCUUUUACCCAGUCUAGAACGCUGGGGGAAUAAGGAGAGGGCAAGUCUGGUGUCAGCCGCCGCGGUAAUACCAGCUCUCCGAGUGGUGUGGAUGUUUAUUGGGCCUAAAGCAUCCGUAGCUGGCUAGGUAAGUCCCUUGUUAAAUCCACCGAAUUAAUCGUUGGAUCGCGGGGGAUACUGCUUGGCUAGGGGACGAGAGAGGCAGACGGUAUUUUCGGGGUAGGGGUGAAAUCCUAUAAUCCCGG
This 581-nucleotide ribosomal RNA is filed under the name uncultured archaeon. Its description in RNAcentral is "bacterial SSU rRNA". It matches the Rfam family "Archaeal small subunit ribosomal RNA", at positions 85 to 651 of the family's 1478-position model. The record is from RNAcentral.